RNAcentral lists this long non-coding RNA (1048 nucleotides) under Sus scrofa (pig). Its description in RNAcentral is "lncRNA (ENSSSCG00040073062.1)". The record is from RNAcentral. Lineage: Eukaryota; Metazoa; Chordata; Mammalia; Artiodactyla; Suidae.
UUUUUUCUUUUUUGGCUGCACCAAGAGCAUGUAGAAAUGCCUGGGCCAAGAAUCGAAACAGCACUGAGAUAGCAAGCCAAAUUGUGGCAGUGACAACCCUGGAUCCUUAACUUGCUGGGCCACAAAGGAAUUCCUAAAUUCAAUCUUCAACUAACUUCAGUCUUGAAAUUUUGUUGUAAAGUCAAAACAAACAAAUGGUCACUUAUAACUUGUCUAAGCUACUAAAUUACUUGUGGGGCUUUGGGAUCUAGGCCUGCUUGAUCCUGAAAUGUUGGGCAGGGUGUGUGGUCUAUAGAUAUUUUAACAGCCCCAAGAGCUAGGAGAGCGUAUAAGAUGAACAGGAGUUCCUGUUGUGGCUCAGUGGGUUAAGGAUCCAGUAUUACUGCAAAAUGCAGCAUAGGUCACAGAUGUGGCUCAGAUUCAUGUUGCCAUGGCCUCAGUUGCAGCUCCAAUUUGACGCCUGGCCUGGGAAAUUCUAUACAUCGCAAGAAAAAAAAAAAGAUGAACAGACAUUUCACAAUGGCCGGGUUGGAAUUAGGCAAAGGAUAAAGUGGAAAUGGAGCAGAGGGCCAUGUGCAAAUUCCCACUUGGAGUUUUGUGAACUCUGGGAUGAUAGGACUCCUGCCAGAGGUGGUGCCAAGGCCAGAGUUGCGCUGUGGCCUGAGCUGGCACAGUAAGUGGCCAAGCUGGCCUGGGAAGUAAUAAUCAGCUGCAUUUCUGACCUAUGGUGACUGGGCUGAGCCUUCCCUUUUCUGGAUAUCAUCCAACCCCUAGGGGGCGCCAAAGUAGGUAUCCAUACAGUUUGGGGGGUGGGGGAGCAAGAGCGUUGACAUUGAAUCUGUUCCCAGAACCCGCUAAGUACAGACAGUGAGCUCCAAUGAUAAAAAAUAUCUAAUUUGGGCCCUAUUUUUUUCUUCCUUUAAAAAACAACAAAAAUGACAGCCACACCUGCAGCACAUGGAAGGUCCCGGGCUAGGGGCUGGAGCUGCAGCUGCUGGCCUGCGCAACAGCCAUGGCAACACCAGAUCUGAGCAGCCAUGACCUAUGC